This 301-nucleotide ribosomal RNA is filed under the name uncultured bacterium. RNAcentral describes it as "partial 16S ribosomal RNA". It matches the Rfam family "Bacterial small subunit ribosomal RNA", at positions 509 to 808 of the family's 1533-position model. The record is from RNAcentral.
CAGAGCCGCGGUAAUACAGAGGGUGCGAGCGUUAAUCGGAUUUACUGGGCGUAAAGCGCGCGUAGGCGGUUACUCAAGUCAGAGGUGAAAGCCCGGGGCUCAACCCCGGAACUGCCUUUGAAACUAGGUGACUAGAAUCUUGGAGAGGUCAGUGGAAUUCCGAGUGUAGAGGUGAAAUUCGUAGAUAUUCGGAAGAACACCAGUGGCGAAGGCGACUGACUGGACAAGUAUUGACGCUGAGGUGCGAAAGCGUGGGGAGCAAACAGGAUUAGAUACCCCUGUAGUCCCUGUCUCUUAUACC